GACGGAGGGGGCUAGCGUUGUUCGGAAUGACUGGGCGUAAAGGGCGCGUAGGCGGUGUCUUAAGUGAGGCGUGAAAGCCCCGGGCUUAACCCGGGAGGUGCGUUUCAUACUGAGAUGCUAGAGUGCGAGAGAGGAAAGUGGAAUUCCUAGUGUAGAGGUGAAAUUCGUAGAUAUUAGGAAGAACACCAGAGGCGAAGGCGGCUUUCUGGCUCGUAACUGACGCUGAGGCGCGAAAGCGUGGGGAGCAAACAGG
This 253-nucleotide ribosomal RNA is filed under the name uncultured bacterium. Its description in RNAcentral is "partial 16S ribosomal RNA". It matches the Rfam family "Bacterial small subunit ribosomal RNA", at positions 524 to 776 of the family's 1533-position model. The record is from RNAcentral.